UACGUAGGGGGCUAGCGUUGUCCGGAAUCAUUGGGCGUAAAGCGCGUGUAGGCGGUCCGGUAAGUCCGCUGUGAAAGUCGGGGGCUCAACCCUCGGAUGCCGGUGGAUACUGUCGGACUAGAGUUCGGAAGAGGCGAGUGGAAUUCCCGGUGUAGCGGUGAAAUGCGCAGAUAUCGGGAGGAACACCUAUGGCGAAGGCAGCUCGCUGGGACGUUACUGACGCUGAGACGCGAAAGCGUGGGGAGCAAACAGG
This 253-nucleotide ribosomal RNA is filed under the name uncultured bacterium. RNAcentral's name for it is "partial 16S ribosomal RNA". It matches the Rfam family "Bacterial small subunit ribosomal RNA", at positions 524 to 776 of the family's 1533-position model. The record is from RNAcentral.